Long non-coding RNA from Sceloporus undulatus (fence lizard), 1119 nucleotides. RefSeq lists it as uncharacterized. The record is from RefSeq and is a predicted model, not a curated record. The transcript has 6 exons. NCBI's taxonomy places the organism in Eukaryota, Metazoa, Chordata, Lepidosauria, Squamata, Phrynosomatidae.
AAGAAGGGAGGGAAGUUGGGCAGCUUCCCGGCAUGCCUUGCAACGCAAGGGAAAGGUUUGGCCAUUAAUGCAGCUGGCCAUAUGGGGGCUUUGGCAGAGGAGCAUCCCUCGCCAUCCUCGCCUGGCAGGGAUGAGGCAGACCAGGAGGCUGAGGGGAGGCUUGGGGGCAGAGGGCCUGAAACCCCCAAGCCCCCAUUUUGUGACUCUUUCCCCCAGUUUCCCUGUCUCCUGGGGUUGCCCCCCAGCUGUGGGGUCUGGUAAGUGGGAUGGGAUGCCUGAUUCCUCAAGGUGACAGCAUUUUUAACCUUCCUGACACUCAACCAUGUCACUGUUUAUUCAUCUGAAAAGUGAGCCUAAUCCUGAAUCUCUGUAUCACAAGUGUCCUUGUCUUUUGGAGAGAUGCCUCAUUUUAAGAAGAGUAUAGACAUGUUGGAGCAGAUUCAGAGAAGAGCAACAAAGAAGGAAAGAAACCAGGAGGGAGGUGACAUGGAAAUGUGGGAGGAACAAGGUUGUUUUGCUUUGUCCUGACAGUGAACGUCUCUGGUGCAAACCUGUAGUUACUGAAUAAAGGUUUGCUGAGUUUACUACUGAAACCUGGAAUUUCUGAACUUUGGAAGGCACCGGUUUUGACAAUAUUAUGAAGCCAUAACAGUAAAAAGUAGGGACAGGCAAUUUGGACACAUCCCUCCUCAAAACUAGGGUGAGGCCUAAGCACUCAAUAAACAGGGAGUGCUGAGCUGUGAGAAGAGCAAGAUGGAGGGGAAGUAAAUUCAACAAGAAAUGCAAUUUUGGAAAUGUUCAGCAGGAGGAAAGUUGAUGAAAUAGGACACUUGCCAAGCCACCUUCAGAGCUUUCCCAUUUACACCUCUCCUGGAAGUGCCACCCUUGACAACCUUCAGCACAUGGGAUCAGCAGCUCCCACACAGCUUAACCUUGUUCCUUUCCUUCUCUGGGAUUCAAAUGUUUCUUCCGCUUGCAUGAUCUAAUAUGAACCAGCUUGUGUCCACUUAUGACUGAGUCACCCAUUUUUUGAAUUCUAAAUUACAGGCUGGACAGACAGGAUGACAGACAUAAAUCUGUCAGAAUUUUCCUUAGAAUAAAGUGCUACAGUAAGAUCAA